AUGAAUGAAUUGGCGUUCACGAAGGGACAGACUCUCCCUCUCUCAAUCUCUCAAUCCCGUUCCCAAUCUCACAAUGCUCUCUCAAUCUCUCCAUCAUACGCUCGUCCUCAACCUUCCUCAAUCACUCCGUCCUCAAUCGCUCUCGCGUACCACACAAUCUCUCUCACUCUAAAAUGCAAGGAUCCAUGGUUUUAAGGAGAAACAAAAAGAAAGAGGCUCACCUUCGGCGAAAACGACAGAGACGAUGAAGUUUAAAACUCACUCCUCCGCUUCUUCAAUCCAGGGUUUUCAGGAUGGCAUAUGGAGCUCAAAAGAGUAUCCUGCAAAACCCCCUUCUGGGUGGUCAGGGUUCGGUCGCCCUAAUCGAUGCUUGGGUUGGAACAGUGAAUAUGCCUCUCUUGCCACUGAGAAAUAUCCUUUCGAACUCUUGUUGAAUCAGAUUGUACUUCCUCACUAUAACUGAAUUCAUCUUCAUCUUUGAGAGGGAAAUUUUUGAAGGUGUCAAUGGUGAAUGAUUUGACGUGGUUUAUGAGUUCGUCGGUAAUCCCAUUGUUGUGUGGAAUUGGAUUCUGUUGAAGUGUUUGGAUUUGUGAAA
Long non-coding RNA from Lathyrus oleraceus (garden pea), 595 nucleotides. RefSeq lists it as uncharacterized. The record is from RefSeq and is a predicted model, not a curated record. NCBI's taxonomy places the organism in Eukaryota, Viridiplantae, Streptophyta, Magnoliopsida, Fabales, Fabaceae. The transcript is spliced from 3 exons.